This 209-nucleotide ribosomal RNA is filed under the name uncultured bacterium. RNAcentral describes it as "partial 16S ribosomal RNA". It matches the Rfam family "Bacterial small subunit ribosomal RNA", at positions 568 to 776 of the family's 1533-position model. The record is from RNAcentral.
UGCGUAGACGGUUUCGUAAGUCGGGUGUGAAAUCCCCGGGCUCAACCUGGGAAUUGCAUUCGAGACUGCGAGGCUAGGGUACGGAAGAGGGAAGCGGAAUUUCCGGUGUAGCGGUGAAAUGCGUAGAUAUCGGAAGGAACAUCAGUGGCGAAAGCGGCUUCCUGGUCCAGUACCGACGUUCAGGCACGAAAGCGUGGGGAGGCAAAACA